GGGAAAGUUGCAAGGAACUUUGAAGAGAGAGUUCAAGAGUGCGUGAACCCGUUCGGAGGUAAACGGGUGGGAGCGCGAAGGUCGAAAGGAAGGGGAGGGAUUCAACUUGGCGUGACUGGCGUCCCCCGGCCGGCGCCCGAGGCCCGGCGGCACAUCCGUGUGUCGUCGCUCGUCUCUGGGUGUUCCUGGUUCCGGUGGGAGUCUGGCCUGGUCAACUGCCUCGUGCAUUUCCCUGUUCCCCCUCUCCUAGUAGGACGCCGUGACCGGCCGUCGUGGGGAGCCCAGGAGCCGGUGGGGGUAGCUGCGCGGACGAGUGUGGGACUCUGUUCUCUGCGUCCGGUCUGUCUGCCCUCCGCCGUGUGGCGGGUCGCUCUCCCCGGCCGAGGAGCUGUGCGAGGUUGGUGGGUGGAGGGGGUUCGCUCUCUCCGUCCCCACCGCCUCGUCCAAGCGCGCGCCCGCGAACUGUUAAGGCGGCCAGCGGGUCGAAAGAUCCCAACGGGUGGCUGCGGGUGGCUGCUGGACGGUCUUAGUGCCGUUUCCAGUGACCUCCGCGUGUCAGCCGCCGUCGGUCAGGGUGCGGACUCCCGCAGGGGGCGCUGGGGGUCGACGGCGAGUAGGUCGGUUUCCCACCCGACCCGUCUUGAAACACGGAACAA
This 656-nucleotide ribosomal RNA is filed under the name Harpaphe haydeniana. RNAcentral describes it as "partial 28S ribosomal RNA". The record is from RNAcentral. Lineage: Eukaryota; Metazoa; Arthropoda; Diplopoda; Polydesmida; Xystodesmidae.